Molecule: long non-coding RNA, 3082 nt
Organism: Fundulus heteroclitus (mummichog)
Lineage: Eukaryota; Metazoa; Chordata; Actinopteri; Cyprinodontiformes; Fundulidae
Exons: 3
Source: RefSeq, a predicted model, not a curated record
AAGAACCCCCAAACUUUAGUUACAGACCCAACUGAGAUAAACGAUACUUUUGCUUCAUAUUACUUUGAUUUAUACAAUCAGAAGCCUCAUCAGACACUACUCCAAUGAACCAAUUCCUAGAUAAUUUAAUUCUCCCCUCUGUGGACACUAAUUCCAAAAACAUUCUAGAUGCCCCUCUCAAUCUGUAAGAGGUGAAAGCCAGCCUUAAAUUAAUGCAGAUGUAGCGUGGAAGGAAGAAAAUUCAUUCCACCAAAUAUCCUUCAUUUUAUAUUUUCAUUAAUUUAUUGUCUUUCAGUUUUAUGUUGGAAUUAAUAUUUUAAAGAAAAAUACUCUGUAUAAUAAUUUUCGGAAAGUUUUAUUUUAUUUUUGUGGGUAUAACUGGUGACGUCACUUCCUCCUUCACCAGACCAUUCAUGGCUGUUGCGGAGGAAGGUGGACUGAUGUCGGCUGGAUAUAUUAUUUGCUGCUGAACAGUUUUUCAUAUCAUUCUGUACAGAAUAAAUACACCAUCAGUAGGCUGACCUGAAAUGCCUGAGCGGUCGUCACUAGACAACGCAGAGUCAAACAAGUAGCACGCCUGAGGCCGGCUACAUUGGUGCCGUGACGAUCCGGAUUCAUCUUGGAUCAACAACAGCUUGGUCAUCGAGGGCUGCUGAUCAUCACCAAGAGGUUCCUUUAAAUUUGCUGGUUGCAAAGCUACGCUGUUACACAGUUGAAAGGACUUUGAAAGAAAAGGGGUUGUUUCAUUUUUUUCCCCUUGCAUUCUUUUUUAUUGUUGUUGUGUAUCUCAACUAAGUUUGAUAGAUUAAGAACCAUUGUUUCAUUAUAAUAUAGGGUUAAGGUUGUUGUUUUUUUUUAUUAAAAAUGGCUUCCAAGUUUGAAGAAGCAGAUGUAGCUACAACAAAUGAGAAUCCUCUAGGCCUUGGCAGAGGAAGGUUUUUGAGGGAGCUUUGUGAUACCCCUGUCAGAAAUGCAGACAAUGUUGGUUCACCAGCCUUUAGCUCCACUCGGUUACCUAGUCAUCCAACCGCUUUGCCUAAACUCGCUGAUCAGCUGUCAGCAACGUCAGACAUAAGUGAUCUAGCUUUAAAAAAAUUUCAUCACACACAUAGCACAGGAAGUCAGAUAGGUUAUAUCUACUCAGUUAAAGGGAGAAGGUAAGGCAGAUGAGGACAGAGAUGCACGAGCUCAGAGUUCAGGUACAAAUCAGACUCUCAAUAUCCUUACACAUAACCUGGCAGGCAUAAGAUUAGUUAUGCAAGCUAAUGUCAGGGAACCUCCCAGUUUUAGAGGAGAUGUGUCAGAUAAGCUAUCAGUGUAUGAGUGGGAGGAACUUCCACAUACCUGAGGAAGAGAGGUGUACCACAUGGAGAACAGCAUCAGGAGAUUUUAUAUAAGUUAAUAGGAAAAGCUAGGGACAUUGUGAAGGUUACGCUCCGUAGCAAUCCAGCCCUAAAACCCCAAGAGAACCCAAAAUUCAUCAUUGACAUUUUAAAGCAACACUUUGGUGAAACAAGUUCAAGUAUGCCUCUUGCAGACUUUUAUGGCACUGUGCCUCAAAUAGGAGAAAACCCUGUUGAGUACUGGCUAGGCCUCAACAAGGCAAUUGAUGUAACUGAGGAGGCUUUGAGGAGACAAGGGCGACACGUUGAUGAUCCUAGCCGAGAGGUAACGAUGAUGUUCGUCAAGUAUUGUCCAGAUCCCUCUCUUGCUGCAGUAUUACGAUUCAAGCCACCAGACAAGUGGACAGCUAAAGAGAUACAGGAACAUGUAGAUCGCUAUCAAAUUGAGAUGAAGCCUAAACCAAUUCAUGCCAGCUUGAUAAAGUGUCUGUCAUCACAUGUUCAAGCACCUGAGGAGCUCAUUUCAUCCAGCUCUCCGGUUUCUUCUCCUGUUUAGGUUGAGGGGAAUGUCAACCUCAGUCCUCAGUUAGAUGAUAACUGUAUAAAGACUCUCAUCAGUCUGCUUGAUCGUACCCUUGUUCAGAACAACCAGACUGUGCUCAGAAAGCCCUCUUAUGGUCAGCUGCAGAGAAAGUUCUGUAAGGUUUGCCAGUCCACAGAACACUCAACAUUGGCACAUUGCAGACAAGAUCGCCUGUGCUUAUCCUGUUUCAAACCUGGUCACAUUAAGAAGGACUGCCCAAACAAGGAUUCCAGACAAAAUCUUCAAACCGCGUCUUCGCUUGAAGGACAACAGCAUUUAAACUGAUGAACCCGCAUUCGGAGAGGGGACGUGUGGGUAGUGAUUUACAAACCCUCAACUGUGACAGUGAACUCGAACAAUGCUAUGUAAAUGCAUGUGGAGUAGCAUCAGGUAAUGCUAAGGUGAUUAUGCAAAAUACACAGACAGUAGAGCCUUAUGAUGAACUGUUCUAUGCACCAGUUACUGUGAACUCUAAGUUUCAGAUGCAAGGGAUGCUAGAUUCAGGUUCUAUGGCAUGCACCUUCAGUGAAGAAGCAGAGGAAAGGAUGGUUAGAGAGAACAUCUUGUCAGAACCUGACAAGGAUAAAAAAAAGUAUACUGCUUUUACCACACCACUUGGGUUACAUGAGUACAACCGGAUGCCACAGGGGCUCUGCAAUAGUCCGGCUUCCUUCAUGCGCAUGAUGUUAAGUGUAUUUGGUGACUUGAACUUCAGCAGUCUGUUAUGCUAUUUAGAUGACCUGCUUGUUUUUGCACCCAGUGAGGAGGAGGCUUUGCAGAGGUUGGAGGUUGUCUUUCAGCGGCUGCGAGAGCAUAACUUGAAGCUGAGUCCCAAGAAGUGCCACCUCAUGCAAGCUUCUGUGAAGUUUCUGGGCCAUGUCAUUGAUGGAAAUGGUGUGGCUGUGGAUCCAUCAAAAGUUGAGGUGAUAUCCAAAAUGUUGUCGUCCAAUCUGAUGGAAGAUGAUGGAAGUACACCUUCUGUUCGACGGAUUAAAUCUUUUCUGGGGAUGGUAUUCUGUUACCAGCACUUCCUUCCCAAUUGCUCUUCUUUGACUAAACCACUCUUUGCUCUUACUCAGGGUUUCCGCGGGGCAUUAAAAGUCAUUAAAUGAAAUGUUUUAAAAUUAAGGCCUUAAUUAGCAUUAAAAGUCAUUAA